RNAcentral lists this ribosomal RNA (584 nucleotides) under uncultured bacterium. RNAcentral's name for it is "bacterial SSU rRNA". It matches the Rfam family "Bacterial small subunit ribosomal RNA", at positions 338 to 915 of the family's 1533-position model. The record is from RNAcentral.
CCUACGGGAGGCAGCAGUGGGGAAUUUUGGACAAUGGGCGCAAGCCUGAUCCAGCAAUGCCGCGUGCAGGAUGAAGGCCUUCGGGUUGUAAACUGCUUUUGUACGGAACGAAACGGUGAGCUCUAAUACAGUUUGCUAAUGACGGUACCGUAAGAAUAAGCACCGGCUAACUACGUGCCAGCAGCCGCGGUAAUACGUAGGGUGCGAGCGUUAAUCGGAAUUACUGGGCGUAAAGCGUGCGCAGGCGGUGAUGUAAGACAGAUGUGAAAUGCCCGGGCUCAACCUGGGACCUGCAUUUGUGACUGCAUCGCUAGAGUACGGUAGAGGGGGAUGGAAUUCCGCGUGUAGCAGUGAAAUGCGUAGAUAUGCGGAGGGACACCGAUGGCGAAGGCAAUCCCCUGGACCUGUACUGACGCUCAUGCACGAAAGCGUGGGGAGCAAACAGGAUUAGAUACCCUGGCAGUCCACGCCCUAAACGAUGUCAACUGGUUGUUGGGUCUUCACUGACUCAGUAACGAAGCUAACGCGUGAAGUUGACCGCCUGGGGAGUUAGGCCGCAGGUUGAAACUUAAAGGGAAUUGAGG